This 2932-nucleotide ribosomal RNA is filed under the name Enterobacter cloacae. RNAcentral's name for it is "bacterial LSU rRNA". It matches the Rfam family "Bacterial large subunit ribosomal RNA". The record is from RNAcentral. Lineage: Bacteria; Pseudomonadati; Pseudomonadota; Gammaproteobacteria; Enterobacterales; Enterobacteriaceae.
GGGUUGUGAGGUUAAGCGACUAAGCGUACACGGUGGAUGCCCUGGCAGUCAGAGGCGAUGAAGGACGUGCUAAUCUGCGAAAAGCGCCGGCGAGGUGAUAUGAACCCUUGACCCGGCGAUGUCCGAAUGGGGAAACCCAGUGUGUUCCGACACACUAUCGUUAACUGAAUACAUAGGUUAACGAGGCGAACCGGGGGAACUGAAACAUCUAAGUACCCCGAGGAAAAGAAAUCAACCGAGAUUCCCCCAGUAGCGGCGAGCGAACGGGGAGCAGCCCGGAGUCUGAAUCAGCUUGUGUGUUAGUGGAAGCGUCUGGAAAGUCGCAGGGUACAGGGUGAUACUCCCGUACACGAAAGCACACUUGCUGUGAACUCGAAGAGUAGGGCGGGACACGUGGUAUCCUGUCUGAAUAUGGGGGGACCAUCCUCCAAGGCUAAAUACUCCUGACUGACCGAUAGUGAACCAGUACCGUGAGGGAAAGGCGAAAAGAACCCCGGCGAGGGGAGUGAAAAAGAACCUGAAACCGUGUACGUACAAGCAGUGGGAGCACCUUCGUGGUGUGACUGCGUACCUUUUGUAUAAUGGGUCAGCGACUUAUAUUCUGUAGCAAGGUUAACCGUAUAGGGGAGCCGCAGGGAAACCGAGUCUUAACUGGGCGUUAAGUUGCAGGGUAUAGACCCGAAACCCGGUGAUCUAGCCAUGGGCAGGUUGAAGGUUGGGUAACACUAACUGGAGGACCGAACCGACUAAUGUUGAAAAAUUAGCGGAUGACCUGUGGCUGGGGGUGAAAGGCCAAUCAAACCGGGAGAUAGCUGGUUCUCCCCGAAAGCUAUUUAGGUAGCGCCUCGUGAACUCAUCUUCGGGGGUAGAGCACUGUUUCGGCUAGGGGGCCAUCCCGGCUUACCAACCCGAUGCAAACUACGAAUACCGAAGAAUGUUAUCACGGGAGACACACGGCGGGUGCUAACGUCCGUCGUGAAGAGGGAAACAACCCAGACCGCCAGCUAAGGUCCCAAAGUCAUGGUUAAGUGGGAAACGAUGUGGGAAGGCACAGACAGCCAGGAUGUUGGCUUAGAAGCAGCCAUCAUUUAAAGAAAGCGUAAUAGCUCACUGGUCGAGUCGGCCUGCGCGGAAGAUGUAACGGGGCUAAACCAUGCACCGAAGCUGCGGCAGCGACGCUUAUGCGUUGUUGGGUAGGGGAGCGUUCUGUAAGCCGUUGAAGGUGGCCUGUGAGGGCUGCUGGAGGUAUCAGAAGUGCGAAUGCUGACAUAAGUAACGAUAAAGCGGGUGAAAAGCCCGCUCGCCGGAAGACCAAGGGUUCCUGUCCAACGUUAAUCGGGGCAGGGUGAGUCGACCCCUAAGGCGAGGCCGAAAGGCGUAGUCGAUGGGAAACAGGUUAAUAUUCCUGUACUUGGUGUUACUGCGAAGGGGGGACGGAGAAGGCUAUGUCAGCCGGGCGACGGUUGUCCCGGUUUAAGCGUGUAGGUGUGUGUUCCAGGCAAAUCCGGUUCACUUUAACACUGAGGCGUGAUGACGAGGCACUACGGUGCUGAAGUGAUAAAUGCCCUGCUUCCAGGAAAAGCCUCUAAGCAUCAGGUAACACGAAAUCGUACCCCAAACCGACACAGGUGGUCAGGUAGAGAAUACCAAGGCGCUUGAGAGAACUCGGGUGAAGGAACUAGGCAAAAUGGUGCCGUAACUUCGGGAGAAGGCACGCUGAUAUGUAGGUGAAGCCCCUGCGGGUGGAGCUGAAAUCAGUCGAAGAUACCAGCUGGCUGCAACUGUUUAUUAAAAACACAGCACUGUGCAAACACGAAAGUGGACGUAUACGGUGUGACGCCUGCCCGGUGCCGGAAGGUUAAUUGAUGGGGUUAGCGGCAACGCGAAGCUCUUGAUCGAAGCCCCGGUAAACGGCGGCCGUAACUAUAACGGUCCUAAGGUAGCGAAAUUCCUUGUCGGGUAAGUUCCGACCUGCACGAAUGGCGUAAUGAUGGCCAGGCUGUCUCCACCCGAGACUCAGUGAAAUUGAACUCGCUGUGAAGAUGCAGUGUACCCGCGGCAAGACGGAAAGACCCCGUGAACCUUUACUAUAGCUUGACACUGAACACUGGUCCUUGAUGUGUAGGAUAGGUGGGAGGCUUUGAAGCGUGGACGCCAGUCUGCGUGGAGCCGUCCUUGAAAUACCACCCUUUAAUGGCUGGUGUUCUAACGUGGACCCGUAAUCCGGGUUGCGGACAGUGUCUGGUGGGUAGUUUGACUGGGGCGGUCUCCUCCCAAAGAGUAACGGAGGAGCACGAAGGUUAGCUAAUCCUGGUCGGACAUCAGGAGGUUAGUGCAAUGGCAUAAGCUAGCUUGACUGCGAGAGUGACGGCUCGAGCAGGUGCGAAAGCAGGUCAUAGUGAUCCGGUGGUUCUGAAUGGAAGGGCCAUCGCUCAACGGAUAAAAGGUACUCCGGGGAUAACAGGCUGAUACCGCCCAAGAGUUCAUAUCGACGGCGGUGUUUGGCACCUCGAUGUCGGCUCAUCACAUCCUGGGGCUGAAGUAGGUCCCAAGGGUAUGGCUGUUCGCCAUUUAAAGUGGUACGCGAGCUGGGUUUAGAACGUCGUGAGACAGUUCGGUCCCUAUCUGCCGUGGGCGCUGGAGAAUUGAGGGGGGCUGCUCCUAGUACGAGAGGACCGGAGUGGACGCAUCACUGGUGUUCGGGUUGUCAUGCCAAUGGCACUGCCCGGUAGCUAAAUGCGGAAGAGAUAAGUGCUGAAAGCAUCUAAGCACGAAACUUGCCCCGAGAUGAGUUCUCCCUGAGACUUUAAGUCUCCUGAAGGAACGUUGAAGACGACGACGUUGAUAGGUCGGGUGUGUAAGCGCAGCGAUGCGUUGAGCUAACCGAUACUAAUGAACCGUGAGGCUUAACCUUACAACGCCGAAGGUGUUU